This 594-nucleotide ribosomal RNA is filed under the name uncultured Bacteroidota bacterium. RNAcentral's name for it is "bacterial SSU rRNA". It matches the Rfam family "Bacterial small subunit ribosomal RNA", at positions 122 to 715 of the family's 1533-position model. The record is from RNAcentral. Lineage: Bacteria; Pseudomonadati; Bacteroidota.
CNNCCUGCCGAUAACUCAGGGAUAGCCUUUCGAAAGAAAGAUUAAUACCUGAUGGCAUAGGAUUAUCNCAUGAUAAUCCUAUUAAAGAAUUUCGGUUAUCGAUGGGGAUGCGUUCCAUUAGGCAGUUGGUGAGGUAACGGCUCACCAAACCUUCGAUGGAUAGGGGUUCUGAGAGGAAGGUCCCCCACAUUGGAACUGAGACACGGUCCAAACUCCUACGGGAGGCAGCAGUGAGGAAUAUUGGUCAAUGGACGGGAGUCUGAACCAGCCAAGUAGCGUGAAGGAUGACUGCCCUAUGGGUUGUAAACUUCUUUUAUACGGGAAUAAAAUGAUCCACGUGUGGAUUUUUGUAUGUACCGUGUGAAUAAGGAUCGGCUAACUCCGUGCCAGCAGCCGCGGUAAUACGGAGGAUCCAAGCGUUAUCCGGAUUUAUUGGGUUUAAAGGGAGCGUAGGUUGACAUAUAAGUCAGCUGUGAAAGUUUACGGCUCAACCGUGAAAUUGCAGUUGAUACUGUAUGUCUUGAGUGUACAAGANGUGGGCGGAAUUCGUGGUGUAGCGGUGAAAUGCUUAGAUAUCACGAAGAACUCCGAUUG